Saccostrea cuccullata (small rock oyster) is the source of this 702-nucleotide long non-coding RNA. RefSeq lists it as uncharacterized. The record is from RefSeq and is a predicted model, not a curated record. NCBI's taxonomy places the organism in Eukaryota, Metazoa, Mollusca, Bivalvia, Ostreida, Ostreidae. The transcript is spliced from 3 exons.
AUUCAUAGUUUGGCAGAAUUCUAUGGAAGACCUAAAACAGAUGAAUUCCAAGGUCGCCGCCAAUACUGCGAAAGUGACAUUCCAGCUGACAUCACCAGAGCAGAAGAUUUAAGCUUCAGAACCCAUUAGUUUUUGAGAUGCAUGAAAUAAUUCUGAUUGCAAUGGACCUUUGAAGUUUCUUCUUUUUAUCAUACUAUGAACAUUUAACAGACACAAGGCAGAGAGGCCACACAACAUCAGAGACUGUGUUCAAGGAGAUGGCGAAGGACCCUGUUCUACAGAAUACAUGUCCAAACAUGUUCCAAUUACUUUUACUCUCUCUGCUAAUACCAUCUUCUACUGCAGCUGUAGAGAGAUCUUUUAGUCUUAUGAGUUAUGAAUGGACUAUGUACCCCUUUGAGAAAUAGGCUAAAAACUGCAUCAUUAGAUGCUAUUAUGAGAAUCUGCCAUGAAGGUCCUGCUGAAAUGAGUGAAAAUUUAAUAAGAAAUAUUGUAGACACAUUUAUAUCUGCAAAAGACAGAAAAAUGCAGUUUGACUGAAGUAUCUGUAAAACAGUUAAUAAAUACCUAGCACAUUGUUAUGAAAUUAUGUUUUAUUUAAAAUUAUUCAGAGAAAUGUAAGGUAUGACGUUUUUCCCAAUUUCAUCCAAAUGUCGCUAUUUUUCCCAAAUGGAAAGGCCCAGACCCUUGGUUUUGAGACCU